Long non-coding RNA from Scleropages formosus (Asian bonytongue), 209 nucleotides. RefSeq lists it as uncharacterized. Lineage: Eukaryota; Metazoa; Chordata; Actinopteri; Osteoglossiformes; Osteoglossidae. The transcript is spliced from 3 exons. The record is from RefSeq and is a predicted model, not a curated record.
UGCUCAUUUAUUGCUCGUGUCAAGCGGCCACUGUGGUGAAGGGAGACAAACUGCCUUUCUUGCGGUCACGUCUCCCAUGCGAAAGAACAUUUCUUGGCAUAGUCACCCAGACAUCAGAAUGGAUUUGCAAAACACUAAAACUGUCUGCUCCCGCAGCCUGUCCAACAGCACAGGGUCACGGGGAAGCGGAGCCUGCCCGGCAACACAGA